GAUGAAGAACGCAGCGAAAUGAGAUAAGUAAUGUGAAUUGCAGAAUUCAGUGAAUCAUCGAAUCUUUGAACGCACAUUGCGCCCCCUGGUAUUCCGGGGGGCAUGCCUGUCCGAGCGUCAUUACAACCCUCAAGCUCAGCUUGGUGUUGGGCCCCGCCGCCCCGGCGGGCCCUAAAGUCAGUGGCGGUGCCGUCCGGCUCCGAGCGUAGUAAUUCUUCUCGCUCUGGAGGUCCGGUCGUGUGCUCGCCAGCAACCCCCAAUUUUUUUCAGGUUGACCUCGGAUCAGGUAGGGAUACCCGCUGAACUUAAGCAUAUCAAUAAGCGGAGGA
RNAcentral lists this unclassified non-coding RNA (329 nucleotides) under soil metagenome. Its description in RNAcentral is "partial contains 5.8S ribosomal RNA, internal transcribed spacer 2, and large subunit ribosomal RNA". The stretch from base 1 to 120 matches the Rfam family "5.8S ribosomal RNA", at positions 35 to 154 of the family's 154-position model. The record is from RNAcentral.